This 491-nucleotide ribosomal RNA is filed under the name uncultured bacterium. Its description in RNAcentral is "partial 16S ribosomal RNA". It matches the Rfam family "Bacterial small subunit ribosomal RNA", at positions 29 to 507 of the family's 1533-position model. The record is from RNAcentral.
GUGAACGCUGGCGGUAGGCCUAACCCCUGCAAGUCGAACGGCAGCACAGUAAGAGCUUGCUCUUACGGGUGGCGAGUGGCGGACGGGUGAGGAAUACAUCGGAAUCUACUUUUUCGUGGGGGAUAACGUAGGGAAACUUACGCUAAUACCGCAUACGACCUACGGGUGAAAGCAGGGGAUCUUCGGACCUUGCGCGAUUGAAUGAGCCGAUGUCGGAUUAGCUAGUUGGCGGGGUAAAGGCCCACCAAGGCGACGAUCCGUAGCUGGUCUGAGAGGAUGAUCAGCCACACUGGAACUGAGACACGGUCCAGACUCCUACGGGAGGCAGCAGUGGGGAAUAUUGGACAAUGGGCGCAAGCCUGAUCCAGCCAUACCGCGUGGGUGAAGAAGGCCUUCGGGUCGUAAAGCCCUUUUGUUGGGAAAGAAAAGCAGCAGGUUAAUACCCCGCUGUUCUGACGGUACCCAAAGAAUAAGCACCGGCUAACUUCGUG